This 197-nucleotide microRNA precursor is filed under the name Setaria italica (foxtail millet). Its description in RNAcentral is "MIR1435 microRNA precursor family". It matches the Rfam family "MIR1435 microRNA precursor family". Lineage: Eukaryota; Viridiplantae; Streptophyta; Magnoliopsida; Poales; Poaceae. The record is from Rfam by way of RNAcentral.
UAGUUUUGUCCUAAGUCAAACUUCUCUAACUUUGGCCAAGUUUAUAGAAAAAUAUAUUGACAUCUACAACCAAAUAAAUGCACUAUCAAGACAUAUUUUAUGGUGGAUCUAAUGAAACUAAAUUGAUGUCAUAGAUGUUGGUACAUUUUUCAUAAACUUGGUCAAAGUUAAAGACGUUUGACUUAGGGCAAUAAAGC